This 533-nucleotide ribosomal RNA is filed under the name Blastocystis sp. subtype 3. Its description in RNAcentral is "bacterial SSU rRNA". It matches the Rfam family "Eukaryotic small subunit ribosomal RNA", at positions 495 to 1039 of the family's 1831-position model. Lineage: Eukaryota; Bigyra; Opalinata; Blastocystidae. The record is from RNAcentral.
GGUGGCUGUUUGCAUUGGAUUGAGACAACGUACAAACCUUAUCGAUAAACAAUUGGAGGGCAAGUCUGGUGCCAGCAGCCGCGGUAAUUCCAGCUCCAAUAGCGUAUAUUAACGUUGUUGCAGUUAAAAAGCUCGUAGUUGAAAUGAAGGGUAGUUGUGUAAUGAAUACAUUCGUGUAUUUUGUUAUUCUACUACCCUCCUUCUAAAUUCGAUAUAUGAGUAUUAAUUUACUUGUAUAUGGUUUUAGACCUUUACUGUGAGAAAAUUAGAGUGUUCAAAGCAGGCAUUUGCUUGAAUAUAUUAGCAUGGAAUAAUCAUGUAUGAUUUUCAUGAUGUAUUUGAUUGGUUUGGUUCAUGAGAAUAAGAUUAAAAGGGACAGUUGGGGGUAUUCAUAUUCAAUAGUCAGAGGUGAAAUUCUCGGAUUUAUGGAAGAUGAACAAGUGCGAAAGCAUUUACCAAGGAUGUUUUCAUUAAUCAAGAACGAAAGUUAGGGGAUCGAAGAGGAUUAGAUACCCCUAUAUUUUCUUAAAAAA